Molecule: ribosomal RNA, 400 nt
Filed under: Cryptopecten bullatus
Lineage: Eukaryota; Metazoa; Mollusca; Bivalvia; Pectinida; Pectinidae
Description: partial 12S ribosomal RNA
Rfam family: Bacterial small subunit ribosomal RNA
Source: RNAcentral
UUAGAUACCCAUUUAUUUCGAUGAAAACUUUGUCGUCCUGCUUGGGUACUACGAGUGCUUAAAACUCAAAGAACUUGGCGGCUUGUUAACUACCUAGGGGAAUAUGCGCCUUAAUCCGAUGUUCCCCGUUGCAUCUUACUGGAUCUUGAAAUAGUGCAGCUGGUGUAUUGCCGUUGUCAGCUUGUUGUUGAGCAAAGAGAAACAGGCUUAAUGGGCCGGGGAGCCUUAAAUUCAGGUCGUAAUACUGCCAAUGGUCCUAGGGAGUGGGUGUUACAAUUCGGAAUUAGAAUACGGAUCUUUGAAAAUGAAGGUGAACUUAGGAGUAAGAGGAAAUUAGUAUGUUUCUCUGAACUGAAUCUAACUCGUGUACAAACUGCCCGUCGCUCUCGGUAAUUGAGAU